GUGGGGAAUCUUGCGCAAUGGGCGAAAGCCUGACGCAGCCAUGCCGCGUGAAUGAUGAAGGUCUUAGGAUUGUAAAAUUCUUUCACCGGGGACGAUAAUGACGGUACCCGGAGAAGAAGCUCCGGCUAACUUCGUGCCAGCAGCCGCGGUAAUACGAAGGGGGCUAGCGUUGCUCGGAAUUACUGGGCGUAAAGGGCGCGUAGGCGGACAGCUUAGUCAGAGGUGAAAGCCCAGGGCUCAACCUUGGAAUUGCCUUUGAUACUGGCUGUCUUGAGUUUGGGAGAGGUGAGUGGAACUCCGAGUGUAGAGGUGAAAUUCGUAGAUAUUCGGAAGAACACCAGUGGCGAAGGCGACAUACUGGUCCAUUACUGACGCUGAGGCUCGAAAGCGUGGGGAGCAAACAGGAUUAGAAACCCUAGUAGUCC
RNAcentral lists this ribosomal RNA (425 nucleotides) under uncultured bacterium. RNAcentral's name for it is "partial 16S ribosomal RNA". It matches the Rfam family "Bacterial small subunit ribosomal RNA", at positions 354 to 796 of the family's 1533-position model. The record is from RNAcentral.